RNAcentral lists this unclassified non-coding RNA (524 nucleotides) under Hevea brasiliensis (rubber tree). The record is from RNAcentral. Lineage: Eukaryota; Viridiplantae; Streptophyta; Magnoliopsida; Malpighiales; Euphorbiaceae.
GUAUAAGUAAAGAGUGAGAGCGUUUCGAAUUCAAGUUUUUCCAUGGAAACUUUUUAUGCAAUUAUGAAAAUGAGAGUCCACACCAGAUGUUGCAAUAAUAGGCCAUGUGGGUUUGGAAGAAAUAUCUUUUUGUUGCCCCAUAUAGCAGGAGAAAAAAUAGGAAAUAUGCAUGAAAACAAGAAAGUUAUACAUGUGAAAGCUUUUGGUAGUUUAAAAUUACCUUCCAUCUGAGCCUGAGGAUGUAGAACUUCGAUUCAAAUUAUUAAGUAGAAAAACUCUGUAAAACCUUUACAGGGACUAAAAGUAUUUUGGAGUUGAGAUUGAUCCACAGAACGGAAAUUCUUGGAAAAACGGCAAUGUACAUGCCCACCUAAGGCUUUCAAAAGCUUUUUGUCUCGACGCUAAUUGCAGAAAAUCUUCGACAGGAACAACCUAACGUGCACAAAAUAAUCACUUAAUUGCUUCCGUAAAAUAAAAUGAACAAUAAUUAACACUGUGUGGAAGCAAUUUCAGCUCAGAAAAAU